AAGAUCAUACUUCACAGGAUCAUUUCUGUAGUAUAUCUUCACAUCCUCUCUACUCAAUUGUGGAGUCGAUACAGCCAUGAUGAUGAGGAAUAAUCCUCUUCUCUGAGCGUGAGGACGGCUGGAGGACUUGACUUAUGUCGAGAACUCGGUCAUCGAUGAUCGUUCACUUCUUGGACUUAGUCCACGAAGCAAGAGAAGUGGAUAUUCUGAGUGGU
Molecule: small nucleolar RNA, 215 nt
Organism: Cotesia glomerata
Lineage: Eukaryota; Metazoa; Arthropoda; Insecta; Hymenoptera; Braconidae
Product: small nucleolar RNA U3
Exons: 1
Source: RefSeq, a predicted model, not a curated record